RNAcentral lists this ribosomal RNA (253 nucleotides) under uncultured bacterium. RNAcentral's name for it is "partial 16S ribosomal RNA". It matches the Rfam family "Bacterial small subunit ribosomal RNA", at positions 524 to 776 of the family's 1533-position model. The record is from RNAcentral.
UACGAGGGGGGCGAGCGUUGUUCGGAAUUACUGGGCGUAAAGCGUGCGCAGGCGGCCAUUCAAGUCAGGGGUGAAAGCCCAGAGCUCAACUCUGGAACUGCCUUUGAAACUGUAUGGCUUGAGUAUGAGAGAGGUGAGUGGAAUUCCCAGUGUAGAGGUGAAAUUCGUAGAUAUUGGGAAGAACACCGGUGGCGAAGGCGGCUCACUGGCUCAUAACUGACGCUCAUGCACGACAGCGUGGGGAUCGAACAGG